This 8119-nucleotide long non-coding RNA is filed under the name Zea mays. RNAcentral describes it as "long non-coding RNA (ZMAY_LNC004901)". Lineage: Eukaryota; Viridiplantae; Streptophyta; Magnoliopsida; Poales; Poaceae. The record is from RNAcentral.
UAUGCAUUCAUGUGCAUCGUGCAUUUCAUUCAGGUGCGAUAAUUAAUCACGUGAUGCGGAAGAUGACUCAAGUCGACCCCAAGCACGGGCUACUCCGCAUGGAGAUGCUGAUGAAUGAACCUGCCUGAUCAAGUGUUAGGACAAGGAUGAUCGUCAAGUGAUCGACGUCUAACAAACACUAACCUAGUGUUUCUUCCAGGCAAGCCCCGGUGCAUUUGCCCCUUCCUUGUGUUUUAAAUGCUUUUUCACCUUAUCUGAUGCAUUAGGUGAUAGGAGUUGUGUGAUAAACAAUUGAUGCAUUACCAUUCCUUGGAAACUCCUUAAUCCCGGUUUUAUAAAAAGAACUGAUAAUGCUUAGCCCUGCUUAGAAACUGAAAAAUCAUUUGUUUUCAAAAAGAAUGAUUGUGGCACAUUGGUUAUGGGCCUUUCGUUUCAAAAAUCAAAGCAAACUUAUGGUGAUGAUUCCACUUCGGCCGGAGUGGGUUCAUCAUUUGGAAAAGAGUACCCCUGCCGGGUACCAAAAAUGGGAAAAUGGUUCGAAUACAUCUAGACCAGACGUUGAGCGGACAUGGUCGCCCGUCUGUGUCGAUUAAGGACCGUUCGAUGUAGGCCUGAUGAGGUGAGACUUUGCAACUAACCACAUGCUCCGAUAAGCCUGAACCUGGCUAUUCCAUACGUGAAAAGACAACCGCGCACUGGGCGUGGGAGAUGGUGGGAGUAGCGUGUACCCUCCUGGCUAGAGGCUGGAUGGAGGAGUACUGUGCUCCCGGGUAGCGCGGACCGGUUCACGUUGUGGAGGAUCUAUGGGAACGGUUGACAUAUGCAAGGGUUAAGUGCUACAUAUGUCGUGUGGUUAGGGAUCCCCAGCUGGGUAUAAUCGGUUCGAAUCGUCGUUGCUCCUCGGUUAUGGAGACUCGACUCACUGACCACUCAUCGUAGUUGACAAGUGAAACAUGAUUGUAGUUGGUUAAAAGAAAGCUAGAUAAGGACAAGUGAAUGCUCUAGAUUAGGCAAAUCUAGAUUCAGGAAAAGUACUAAACUUGUGAAGUAAAAUUUUGGCAUAAGGAUUUACUAUUAGUAAGCUCUUCUGCAAAACAGAGUCUUUGAUUCUUGAUAAGCCAUACCUUGACUCCCUCUAGCCAGCAUACCCUUGAGAGUCUUUUCUUUAGUCGGGUAAGUCUUGCUGAGUAAUUACGUACUCAGGGUUUUAUUCCCUGUUGUUUUUCAGGUCAUAGUUUUGUGCUGCUGAUGGUGGUGUUAAGUGCCGGUGGGCUCGGCCUUCUUAUAAGUUUAAGUAACCCUUCUAUACUUCUUAAUGAGGAUGGUCCCUUGAGCUAGCAUAUAUAUUUCAAACUUAUACUUUUGCAAUCACUCCGAUAAAAUAAUGUAAAAUUUUUGUAACUUGUAAAAUUUGGUAACAAGAUUUCCGCUGCAAAAAUAUUGGUGUGUGUGAUUUGUGUUACUUAAUCCCACAGUUCUGGUUGUAAGUGGUUUAUCCGGUGUCCUUGGGGCAAUCGGACGGAUCCUGUUAAGUUAUCUGGUGCACAUGCAUAGCAGUCUGAGGUCUUUGAGACAAGGACAGGUGCAUGUGGACCCAAUAACUUGGGAGGUUCUGCCACAGCUGGUAUCGGAGCAGGAUUAAGUAUAAUACGGUCACAUACGUAUUUUAAAAACAAAGUUUUGGUUUUAGAAAACCUAUUUUCAACUAAACCCAUUGUUUGGCUUUGAAAAACUAUAAUGCUAGCGACAUCCUCUAUUAAGCCCUAAAUUAAGGACUAUUAGGUGGCUUAGUUUAAAACCACUAACCCACAACCGGGGGUAUUGCAUACAUGUGUAUUGUUAUUUUUAAGGCCAUUCAGUUUUGAAUGGAUCGACGCUCAAGGUAAGGUGAGAUGUGAGAGCAUGACCGAACAAACGUCGGUCUAGGGAAGUGCUUAAUUGAAGCGCUUGAAUAUAUACAUGUUCUACAUAUGUAUAUAUGAAGGCUGCGAUGUGGAGUAAUUACUUUUCCGGGAAUUUAGUACCCCAUGGAUGUGUAUGGGUAUACAGACAUGGGACUACUGAGAAGUGUAAUGUACUUGCAACGACGCACCUACGCUCAGGUAAGAAGGUAAGUUACCAUAAUGAGUUGCCCUAUGGUUAAAGUGUGGCAACGGCGCCUAUGCGUGGCUCGGCGCUUAAUGAUGAGCUGGCCUCCAUAUAGCAAUAUAUGGAGUAUAAACUGUGAUAAACUGUCAUGUGUGAAUUGCAUCAUGGGCAAAUGGGUUGUGAUGAAUUUUCUGCAGGUACACUAACCUCGAAAACGUAUGUGUAGUUGACGACUAGUAAAAUACCGUGAGAGUCGUAAGUAUGCCACCGAGAUAGAACGCUAUCGCCACAUUAUGUUGGCAAAAUCAGUGAGGACGAAUAAGACGAGCAUGCAUCCUGAUUGUUGCAUCAUGUUUGUCACCUAUACACCCAAAAUGCUACUCUCAUCCUUAUUCUAGUAACCAUUGAUUGUAGAUAAUGUGGUGUAAUGCUGAAUUAUGAACUUCGAUGAAAUAGGUGUCCUCCAUUCUUUAGGUAACCUAUUAAGGUCUUAUAUGGUGUUUGCUCUUGUGCUUGAUGUGUCGAUAGAAGGUUAGUGACUUGUUUGCCUAAACCCAAAAUUAGGCCAUGUUCUUAUCUGGUAAACCUAGACCCAAAUUUGAAUUUACCAUUAUCCCUCCUUGACUAAAAUCAUGUAAAUGAAUGCUUAGAUAAUUUCCUUUGUUGUACAUAAAGUGUACCCAAGUUUAAAACAAGGAUCUCAAGUCAUGUCUCCUUUCAAAACCAUUCCCUUGUUCCGUUGGUGCAAGCUGAUAUCCCUAAUUCCAUUUUGCCUCUUCUUGAGGAUCAUGUCAUUAUUUUAUCAACCCAACCCAGAAAAGACAGGUUUGAUCAUUUUCUUGAGUUUGAUGCCUUUGGUUUCCCCAUACCUAUCGCAGGCAUACCAACUUAAUCCUUGACCUUGUGAUCUCUGCGAUGGGCAUAGAAAUAUGCUUGGGGCUGAAAUAACAGUCUCCCAUCGUACUUCUUUCAUUCAGUUUAGGUUAUGGCCAUGUCUUGUUCAUUUCAUCGGGCCAUGAUCUAUUUGGCUCUCUACUUGUAACCAUUUUUACAGGUGGAGUAAUUCUUUGUAUAUUGUCACCCUUACUCAAUUCAUUUGUGUCGCGUGAAAUUUCUUAUUGGUUACGUCUGGUAAUGGCGUUAUGACUAAAAUUGAUGAUGCCGCGACGAAACCGAGGUCCUUCUGUGUGUGCGCACACAUGGUUGUGCUGCUCGGCACGCGUUGGUAUCACCAUUAGUAGUUGUAAUCCAUUAUGAGACUAUGUCAAUGCGUUAUCUUGGCACCAUAUGUUUUUGCUACGUAAGAUUCGUUAUUGGUGCCAGUUCGGUAGUGGUGUCACGAUUAAGGACUUAUGGUGCCGCAGCGAAACUGAGAGCCUCCUGUGAAUGCGCACACAGGGUUGUGCUACUCGUCGGAUGCUGGUAUCAAGGUCUCUAGUCAUGAUCCAUUGUGGAACUACACUGAUGUGUGAUCUUCCGUGGACUCCUUCCUUGAAACAAUUUCUAUGUUGUUUGUCGAAGUGACCAAGCAACACCUAUCAUCUCCGUUGGAUCAAAAGGGGCAUACUACUUUCAUGUGUGGUCUUAUUUCUUUUGAUCUUGGUGGUGACUACUCAUACAAGUUCCUUUUACGUCCUUUGUGUAAAGGUGCAGCCUUGGAGCUCUUUAGUGUUGGAAAACAACUGAUUAGCUCUCAAAAUGGAGAUUAGUUUUUCCCUGCUGCUGAGAUGCAGGAGUUUGUUCAUUCGCUCUUUUAUUUAAUCCAUGUAUUCCCGAACCUAGUCCAUUCAUCUCGCACGAAGAAACAGGUGAACAACCUGACCAAAUGGACUUCUAUUCAAAUACAUGAUCUCUUGUUAACCAGAGUGAACUCUCGGCCAUUGGACUGCCGAUGGUACUGAGAGGACUUGCUCGAUGUCAAAAGUAGUUCAACAAGUUGGCUUUACUAACUUGUAACUGCCCAAUGAACAAAGGUUGAGUUUAGAGAUCGUUUUGUUGAAUUGUCUAAACUCACUUUUGUUCAACCCAUCCUAAGAAGGUACUUAUAAGAAUCAAGAUUAAGUCGGCCAAUAACCACCUAAUCAUUGCUCUAAUCAUGCCUCGAUCGCCUCACGUGUGCUUUUCCAGCGUGUGUGAUCAAGUCGAGCCAUGGUUAGUGCUUGAUAAAAUGGGUUGGUUGUGAAGUCAACAUCAACGGAUCUCUUCAUUGAUAUUUUUCGAGUCUCUAUCAUUUUUCUUGAACUUGGAUUUCUGGGCUAGCCACGGAUCAACUGUGAUGUUAUUCGACAUUCACACCCAUCUCGUGUGCUAUGAACUUACCGUGACCACUUGUUGGUAAACCUCUUUCUGUGUGUUUUACCCAAGAGGUUGCAUCUGGUUCUGUUUGGGUAAAGUCGCAUAUCUACCGCUCGCCCAACAGACUCAGAUAGUACAAUGUCAUCAGGAAAAAGUAAACUGCACACAUGGAACCUUAUGUGUUCUUCUCGCGGACAUUGUCUCUACUAAUGGACAUUUCUAAAUUAACCUAAGGCGAUACAUGCUAUGUCCACUAGAGAAACAACAUUCUGAGACACUCGCCUUUGCUUGGAACUGCCUCAACUACCGCUGAUAUGGACAUGGGUGACCUGCUUCUCCACUCUUAAAAGUCUUUCGCUCCGAAUCUCGGGACGAGAUUCUUUUAAGGGGGGAGGGUUGUAACACCCCAGGUGUUUAUAUUCCGCUUGACAACGAGCACAGAUUUAAGCAUGUAAUCAGUGAAUAAAACAGAUGUUAAAUUUUAAACAUCUUCGUCUGUCGCGAUUUCAUUAUCGCAUCUGUUUCGUCUGUCACGAGUUCGACAUCGUUUUUAUCUAUCCGGGCUCUUCCGAAAUUUUCGUGAUGUUCGGAACAUUGUCAUUCCGAAAAUCGGUGCGUUCGGUGGUUAUUUAAAAUUCAUCGCUCGCGCAAAUACGAAUUUGGAGCCUCGAUCGACUCUUGAGAUUUUUGUCCCCGACAAAUGAAUUUGAACUCGACGACUAAAAUAUCGAAUCUAAUCUCGUCCGGUUUGAACCCGUCUACAGCUCGCUCCCGUGACGAUGCUGGCAUCGUCUCCGGGAACUCCGAUUGUGAUGCCGCAUUCGGCUCUAACGGUUUAAAAUUUAUUCCUUUCUAAAGUAUCGAGUCUAGUGCCAGUUUAAAAAUUAAUCGGUCAAGACGAGCUAAGAUUUUCGUCUAAGUAUUUCGCUCGAUUUAAGUCAUCUCUAUAAAUUCGGUACAUGCGCUAUUUGGGGUAGGCUUUUCAAAUAAAUCGAAAUCGGAACCAUUGCUGGCCAAUUAUGUUUCCUGUUUCAAAAUCCAAGAAAAAUCUUUCUCACAGUGUUCUCUCUCCUUAUCUCCUCACGUACACUACGCAGAUUUUUCUAGUCUUCGUUCUCAUCCACGCACGGGAGGAAAAUCUUCUCUGCGCUUCUAUCCACCACCGCUCAAUCGUUUGAUUUUUUUUUUCGCGCAAGCUUCUUACCUCCUGCGCGCAGAUUGCUUCUUCCUGCUGCACGGCAUGCCGGAGAAAGAUAUGUCUCUCAGAUUUUUUCUUCUCUACCGAUUGCUUUGCUCCUGGCGUGAUUUUUUUUCUCUGCGAUUGAUCUCAUCCCUGCACGGCUCUAGUGGAAAAAUCCCGCCGCCCCUGGGCGCUUCAAAAAUCCAGCCGACGCUCGCCCCUAUCUUCUUCCUCAGCCCAGCCGUCUUCCUGGGCAACCGCGUCUCCUUCUUCCUCCCCCUGCGUCCCUGUUCGGUUCCUGCGCACGCUGACUCCCUGCGUCGCGAGCUUCAGCUCGGAUUCCCCCUCCCAUGGCUGCCGAGCAGCUCGCCGGAAUUCCACGCUCGGUGCCUGGAUCUCCCUCCCUGCAGCUCGCUCUCUCUCCCUAGCUCGCUCGCUCCUGGCCUUCCCCUGCCGGCGCGCCUGUUCCCUGGCCGAAGCCACCUGGUCCCAGGUCCGGUCGGCCGGCUCAGUUUUUCCCAGUGCCGCGCGUCGUGCUUCCCCUUCCAGCCGACCGAAGCUCCAGCUCCAGCCAGGCGCGUCCGGCUCCCUAGGCGCUUGACCAUCUGCUCGCCUGCUUUCCUGCCAGUGCUGCCCAGUGCCUCUCUGCUAGCCGCGCGCCCCUGUCUUAUUUCCCUGCGCACCGUCGUGUCCUCAGCUAGCCGGCUGCGACCCCUGCUCGGAUUUUCCCCUAUGGCCGGAACCUUUUUCCUGGCCGCAGCUCAGAUCUCCGGGGCCGCGAGCUCCCCUAAGCUCGCCAUGGCGAUUUCCACGGCUGGCAGCUGACCUUCCUGUGUCGCGUCCUGACUUUACCCAAUGCCCGGUCGAGCUCUCUGACCGCCGCGCCGUGAAUUUUCCUGCGCGCGUGUCUCCUUGCUCACGCGUCGCCGUCGAGUUCUCUGGUGUUUGCGUGCCAUGAAGUUCCUCUAGCGCCGUGGCUUCCCAAUUCCAUCUAGUCACGCGCGCGAAUUUUCUUCGCCUCAGCCUUAGCUCGUCGGUCACGCUCGUCAGAUGUGCGAUCGAGGACUUCAGCUGAAGGCCGUCGUCAGACAACUACCAAAUCGAGUUGUGAUAUGGUGAGCCGAUUUACUAUUUUUAUUAUCGGUUUUAUGAUCGUAAAAUAAGACAUUUCGUAUACAUAUACGAUUAAGUUAGAAAUACUAGUAAUGCGAGGUGUGCACUUGGUAAUUAUGGCUAGAUUCGUUUUUAUGUCGUUAGGGUGUGUGAUAUUAGGGAGUCGAUGAUAGAAGUGAAAUUCUAGCUAUUGGGCGAUGACGGGAAGGACGUUGUUCAUCGCGUGCUUAAUGUUUGAUGGAUAGUAUGAACUGAAAUCAUAGCCGUUCUCACGAAUUUUGUAUCGACUAGUAAUAGUACACUGGUUCGCUAGUUUUUAUUAUUAGUUCAAGGCUUGGAUUAAUUAGUUAUAUUAGUUGCGUCAGUUCUCUGGACGGUAGUAACCGUGCGUUGUGGUUGUAUUAAUUGUUUAUUAAAAUGUUUCAUCGUAUAUAGUGUAUUGGUUUAUAUAAAUAUAUACAUAUGAGAUGUGUAGGUGAUGAGUAGGAUAGGUUUAGUGUUCUAAUUAAUUAGCUGAUAAGUUGUGUUUAGGCUAAUUAUAUUAAAUAUGUAUUGUUUGUUAUUUCAUGAUGUUUGCGUUAGAUUCGGUUAAUCUAGAGAAGCGUACUUAUUGCGCUCAGUCGUACAUCGAUAACUAGUGUUUUAGUAUAAAAUUGUACAACGCCUCGCCACUAGGUGUUUAAUGCGCUAUCGUAUAGCACUAUUUAGAUUUGUGCUAUUUCUGUUAAUAUGCAUUCAUGUGCAUCGUGCAUUUCAUUCAGGUGCGAUAAUUAAUCACGUGAUGCGGAAGAUGACUCAAGUCGACCCCAAGCACGGGCUACUCCGCAUGGAGAUGCUGAUGAAUGAACCUGCCUGAUCAAGUGUUAGGACAAGGAUGAUCGUCAAGUGAUCGACGUCUAACAAACACUAACCUAGUGUUUCUUCCAGGCAAGCCCCGGUGCAUUUGCCCCUUCCUUGUGUUUUAAAUGCUUUUUCACCUUAUCUGAUGCAUUAGGUGAUAGGAGUUGUGUGAUAAACAAUUGAUGCAUUACCAUUCCUUGGAAACUCCUUAAUCCCGGUUUUAUAAAAAGAACUGAUAAUGCUUAGCCCUGCUUAGAAACUGAAAAAUCAUUUGUUUUCAAAAAGAAUGAUUGUGGCACAUUGGUUAUGGGCCUUUCGUUUCAAAAAUCAAAGCAAACUUAUGGUGAUGAUUCCACUUCGGCCGGAGUGGGUUCAUCAUUUGGAAAAGAGUACCCCUGCCGGGUACCAAAAAUGGGAAAAUGGUUCGAAUACAUCUAGACCAGACGUUGAGCGGACAUGGUCGCCCGUCUGUGUCGAUUAAGGACCGUUCGAUGUAGGCCUGAUGAUGUGAGACUUUGCAACUAACCACAUGCUCCGAUAAGCCUGAACCUGGCUAUUCCAUACGUGAAAAGACAACCGCGCACUGGGCGUGGGAGAUGGUGG